CGAAGCGCCUCCACAAACAAAGGGGAGCCAACAGGUUCAAAGGCAAUGCAUCACUCCGCCUCUGACUCGUCAUUAUUCAUCCCUCUGUCUUUACCUCUCAUCCCCCCAUUCUUCUCUGCCCUCGCGUGUGUACGUGUGUUUUCUUUGUGGCUCUUUGUCUGUUAAACUGCUACCAUGGUCUGGAUACUGAGGCUUAUUAGCUGUUGAGUUUAAUUAAAAAAAGGCCAUUCAUAUGAAAAUGGGAGUCUGAUAGCAAUUGCUGUCCCCAGCAGCUUCCUCCUGUUACUUUUAAUUAGACACCCACUUGAUUGACAUCAAGCCCACUGGCUGGCUGAAGCCGAGUGUGCGUUUCUGGAAGUGUGCUAGAGAGUGCGCUCCUCCCGGCAGUGUCUGUGUAGGUGUGCAGGCAUUUUCUGAACAUACACACAAAGCGCCGGCUCCGAGGUCAUUAAAGCUCUGCGGCGGGAGACCGUACAUCAAAGUUCACUUUGUCGUCAUGAGCAGGAAAAGGACACCGCAGAGGAUUUGUGUCAGAGCGGUUUCACAGCGAACACACAUACGCCUGACACCAGCAGCACUGGCAAUCUGGACAGCGAGAAGGAGAUAAGUCUUUCUGUUCAUCUAACUUGUAUAAAGUGAUUAUGGACAUACUGAGCCCUCCAUAUUUAGACUUCUUGACGCCCCCUUCCUCAGUCGCCCCCUGGUCCGACUCUUGUAAUCUAAUUUUCCGCUGACAGAGGCCAUGGAGAUCCUUGGGUCACGGUGCGAGUCCCUCCAGUCCACCACCCCUCCCUCUCAUCCUUCCCAGUGCCCUCACGCUGUAACUAAGAAGUCGCCAUGCAGCAGACAGUGCACAUUAGAUCUGUCUACCAAUACGCCGGCUAACCCACCCAGUCCAUAGCCCUGCGCUGCCUCAGUAAUCAGAAAGAGAGAUUAGAGAAGGAGGCGGCAGAAAGGAAUUGCAUUUGUCCUCGUAUCCGCUUUUUGUUAUUCCUAUCAUUGCUCAGCACCUUACAAUACCUGUCAGGGUGAAAGAUGAACUGUAUAUUGCAUAUAAUUUUAAACCUGUCGGAGAUCAUUUAGGAGGAUAAAAGGGGGGAGGAAGAAAGUGCGGAGGGCGCCUGCAGUGUUAGAGCUGAGAGAGGAGGCCACACCUGGAGGGGUCACGCUCCUUGUUGACCUUUGGUGUGUCGCCGACCUGACUCUCCUUCAGUUUCGCUACACAUCACUCUGCCUGUCAACACUUGCAUGUGGACUCCACUGCUACUGUUAUCUGCAGUACGUCAAAUGCCAGAGGGACAGUUUUGUCAAUGGAGAACAGUUGGGCUCUUUAACUCGAUUCGCCCGUUGAGGGAUUUUUCCCAAUUCUUUGACUGUCACAGUAAAAUGCUGUUGUCAAUACAUGGCAUUCGCAAACGCAGGAAAUGUUAAUUUGAGUUGUGUUAACCUGAUAUAGACUUUAGCAUUUCAGACUGGUUCCUUUUUUUCUAGUUUCUGUUUUCACUGAGUAUUAUUUUUUUCAGAUUUUUAUGUUGAUGUUGAUUUUAUUUUCAUUCAUCAACUUACUGUAGUAUUGUAGUCCUCUCACUCCCUUUCUCUCUCUCUCUUUAUAUCGUGCGCCCUCUUCCUCCCUCUCUCCUCCAGGCCAUAGCAUAGCCAGUAGCUGAUAGGCAUCUCCUCUGGAGUCUGCUGUAGUCUGCCCUGGCAUCAGACAAAGUGCCUCCAUCAGACCAGUGAGGCUCCCUGGGAACCCAGCAGCAGCAGACCCCCUGGCCCCAUCACCAGUGUGUGCGUGUGUGUUUGCGCGCGCCUGCGUGUCCCUGUAUGUGCGCUAGCCUGUGUGCAUACAUAUAUUACAAUAUGUUGUAUAUAAGCGUUUGUCUUUGUGUGUGUGUGUUGGAUGACAAGGGCUAAGACUGGGACCUUUGUGUUCCAGUCCCUGCCCUCUGUUAUAAAUGGGUUUUGUAAAUUGGGAGAUGGGGAGAUGUGUGUAGUGUCCAGCAUGAAUGUAGCAGUGCGCCAUACUGUUCAUCUGACUAUUCAUCAUAUGUGUUCGUAUUCGUGCGGUUGUGUUGUAGUUCCACGUGAAGGAGCGAUACUAAGACGGACUGUUUCUCAAACCCUGAGAUACCGUGGCUCACUUGUACAGUACACACACACACACAUACGUACAAACACACAGUCAUGCUCCCACUUCAAAUCUGCGUUUGGCAUCAGGGAUCACUUGGGAACGCUUGACUUUUUGACUUUCAUCAUAACUAGAAAGAGAGGGACCAAAUGGACAAAACCAAGAGCCAAAGGAGGAAAUAGGAAGAAGUGCUUUUAUCAGGGGCCCAGUGUUCAGCGCCUGACACACACAUGUACAUGCAGACAGACAGACACACACACACACACACACACACAAAUAUCUGACCCCCAAGUAACCCCUAUAACUUUCCAACAUUUAAGAAUGCAGUCAAGGAGCCUAUUCCCAUUGGAGUUUGUUCUACGUGCGUGCGUGUGUGCGUGUGCAUUCCUCCUGCGCUAUCGGCACAAUCAUUUGACAAGAAUUAUAUAAUUGCAGCCUGUGAUCUCAUUUUCCUCAAAGAGCAUUUUGAAGUUUCCUUUCCUCUUUUGCUCUUUUUGUUUCCUCUGUCUCCCGCUUGUUUAAACGUUAAAAUGACUCACACUAAACCACCCGGGUCUCCCCCGCUCCCUGAUGCCUUUCUGCAACACAUUACCUCUCCGCUCACUGUUAGUGGAAACUUCUACAGGUUCAGAGGGUCUGUUUGAAUCAGAGUAUUUUUAUAAUGCUGGUCUGCUUAUGUUUGUAUAAAUUUAAAACAUGGUGUUCCGGAAGAAAAAGCCCUCACCUCUUAUUGGUCGGCAUCAAUAAAGAAAAGUAGAAACAGA
Molecule: long non-coding RNA, 2892 nt
Organism: Scophthalmus maximus (turbot)
Lineage: Eukaryota; Metazoa; Chordata; Actinopteri; Pleuronectiformes; Scophthalmidae
Exons: 2
Source: RefSeq, a predicted model, not a curated record